Talpa occidentalis (Iberian mole) is the source of this 3434-nucleotide long non-coding RNA. RefSeq lists it as uncharacterized. The record is from RefSeq and is a predicted model, not a curated record. The transcript is spliced from 5 exons. Lineage: Eukaryota; Metazoa; Chordata; Mammalia; Eulipotyphla; Talpidae.
CCUGGGUCUGUGGGGUCCUUUAAAAUUCCUGAAAUGGUCAGUAGCAGCUGAACAGCAUCCAGCCCUCAGGUUUGACUCCCAGCUCCACGGAUACCUCCUUUUUUUUUUUUUUAAUAAUUUUUUAAUAAAGAUUUUAUUUAUACAAGAACUGGGGUACAGGUCAGAGGUGCCGGAGUGUGAGAGAAUUCACCAGAGACAGCGGGGAGCAGAACAGGCAGACAGACCGAAGAUGCUGCUGAGGCGAGCAGUGGGAGAGGCAGGAGAGGUCUGCUGCGCCAUAUGGGAAUCUCUGGCCGGCCGGAAAUCAAACCCGCGCUGCAGAGCUGCAGACAGCUUCACAGUGCUGCGCUCAACCCGCUGCACCACUGGGGAGGCCCUGAUACCUUCUUUUAAACUUCUCAAUUUUAAUAAUCCCUUGUCUUUGCUCCCCUACCCUGAGAGUGGCAGUUGCUGCCUUUAGUUACCUCUGUGACAUCUCAGUGUCUCCUUUACUCUGUCACCUCUUCACUGUAUGGUUAACAGUUUAUGUAUCAAUCAUUGUUGGUGUGGUUUCUGUUUUCGGACACAAUGGGCAACUACAUUCGCAGCUUCUAAGCAGAGGAGAGUGAGACCCACAUCCUCUUCCUGGGAACCUCAGGCUCAGAUUAAUUUUCCACUGGCGGGCAUCAAUAUAACAUAUGGAUGGAUGGCUCCAUAUUAUGAUGAUUAGAUUAUGUGAUUCAUCCCACAUGGAGACAAAUCUGGUGCAUCAAGGAAGCUGAUGACGUUGUAGGCAUAUGGGCCCUCUGGGAGCUGAUAUUUUUUUCAACCCUGCUCUGCCUGCUAGCUAGUAGACAUGGUGUGAUAUUGAUCACUAGUCUUCCUGUCAAUAAGGAGCUAUGAACUGAUGAUACUCUACAGUGCUCAGCAUAUGGAAGACUCUUGUAGAUGGAAAAAACUCCACCUAAAGGGGACAUAAACUUUGAAUGUCUGUGAAGGAGGAGAAUGGAGGUAACACUUAAGCAGUGGUUCUCAAGGGUGCCUACAUAAUUGUAUCACUUGGGAACUCUGAAAAAUCCUGCCUGACCCUCACCAUGAAAAGGUCACCAGGAUCAUGUAUUUAUUAUACUCUUCCUAAUCAAUGAGGAAUGUUGAAGAUCAUUCUAGGGUCUGGAAGAGGAGGAUUAAAGGUCUGAAAGGGAAACUCACCCAGUCUGCCAGUGGAUUUACAUCUUGAGGCAUUAAAAGAUUCAGGAUAAAAUGAAGCCGUCAUAGAAAGACACAUGAGGAGUACUCAGUGAAGAUCAUCCCCAAGAGUAAGAAGUUGUCCUGGCCGUGGCAUUCUUUUCUGCUUCCCUUCCUCCUCUGUUUCCAUUAGGAAAGCUCCUUCCCUGCCACUGUCUCCAGGUGCCCACGGGGUUGGACAGUGGGACAUAAUGUGUUUCUGGGCUAAUAUAAGCUCACUGCUGCUAGUUCUGUUUUUAUUCUACUCAUUGGUUCAGGUCUGACUCUGCUUCACUGGUUAUUUAGGGCCAGCAAUGCCAGAUUCUAUAAAUUUAUCAAAUUUUGGUCCAUGCAAGGAAGGGGCCUGAAGGCCUGGUAGACUCACCUCGUGGAAUGAACGUAGUGGGGACUCCGGACCCGCAGGUCUGGUGUGGACGGCAUGCUGGACUGGGAGUUCCAGUGGGGGAGGCCACGGAUGGGACUGUUCUGCAGGGAGCUGCUUCCCCCUCCUGCUUCGGCACAGCUGCCCGUGCUGGGGAAACGCUUGUGGCUACUGUAAACCAGAGGAGGCCAUGCUGGUCACUGCCAGACAGAACUCCAGCCUUUCCAGGUAGCUAACCAGCCUGGGGCUGACAGUGUCGGUGUUGGGAAACUUGUCCAGAACUGCCUGGGCUGUGCUCCCUCAGAGCUCUCCUCUGAUUCUCAGCCUUUCCUCCAGAAGUGGGAGGAGGGUCCUAGUCCUUGAGAUAAUGAAGAGCCUCUCGGGGACAGGCAGUGUGGCUAUUCUGUGAGGCCCCUCCCCUCAAACCUGACUUCUGGUUUCUUCUUUUUUUUUUUUUUCUCAUCUUCUAACCCAAAUCCUAAACCCUAACCCUAACCCUGGCUUUUGCUUUCUAAGAGAAAAUAAUUUACCUGUCUAGGGCACCAACUCAAAGGAAAUGAGAAAAACAGAGACACCGGCUAAAAAACCCCUCUCCAUAAUACCAGCUGAGAAAUGAGCUGAUAAUGCACAGCUGUUUGGCUCUAGAAUUCUGUUGGAUGAUGGCUUAGGCUUCUGAGCCACUGUGGGAUUCCUGCAAGUGGACGCUCAGCUGUCACUUCAGAAUAGUGCUGCCUAAAAUGUCCUAAUUAAUUCCUGUGGAAUUUAACAUUAAUACCAUCUGCCAACAGUUGAGCCAAAGCCCAAAUUCCCUUGGAAUGACAAACCUGCACCUUAACAGCAGAGGGCGCGCUAUGAGCACAGCACUGUUGAAGGGCCGGCCCAGGAAGGCGUUGGGUUGAUGGGGUUUUGGACUGUGUGGGAGCCACCCGGACAGCCCUUCCAUUCUCGCAAAGCACCGAGACCUCAUUCGCCCUCCUCUGCCCAGCUCACCUGGAAUGACUGUGGGAGGAACGUUUCUUGACCUUCUCAUAAGGCUCAUCUAAGGAGGACUCGCUCCACAUUUUGGGCUUUAUAGGUGACUUGUCAUAGUCGUUGCGGUGAUAGUGCAUCUGUCUGAGUCCCUCCAGCGACUGGGGCGGAGGGGGCCUGUUGUGCGAUGGUGGCCGAGGAGGGAGUCCUUUGUGUGGAGACUGUAAGGGGGACAGUGUGCUGGUGACCUGAGAGUCUUCUGCACAGAGACGGAAAGAGAGGAACUGAGCAAGGGUCAUCUUCCCCACUGAGACAGACUCCCCUGCUCCCCCCAAACCCGAACUCCACCUCUGCCUCUCCUCCAGGCAAAUCACUGUGUGGAGGAACCUCUGGCUUCAUCAGCUACCAAGACACGUCAAUCCAGAACAAGCCAAGCCUAAACUCUGAGCAGCAUUAAAUGGGAAGAAAAGUUUCGCUUCUGUUAGCUACAAAUGGAGGGAGGCCUGAACUUCAUUAAAUAACAUUGGCUAAUAAAUGCUUCACACCAAACAGCAAAAUGUAGUCAUUUUUAUACUGUUAUGUUUUCUUUCAGUACACAGCAAGCACCUAACAUGAUUUAGGAGAGUUUCAGCUCCAUAGGGUUUUGCUGACUGUUACAUCCCAGGUGUCUGGAAUGACUGUUGACACCGAGUAGGUGUUUAAUAUUUGUUGGAAACAAUCAAAGUACAUCUGUCAAGUGUAAUUACCUGCUGUGGGUGCUAGGCAUCCAUCUACUCUGUUUUAGGACGAUCUAAAUUGUGUUUUAAGUGGUCCGGUGUGAUGCUUUCAUUUUGGAACUACCUUAGAUUCUUUGGAAAGUGAUGGGUUACGAAUAUUAAAU